RNAcentral lists this long non-coding RNA (241 nucleotides) under Setaria viridis. RNAcentral's name for it is "long non-coding RNA (SVIR_LNC001164)". Lineage: Eukaryota; Viridiplantae; Streptophyta; Magnoliopsida; Poales; Poaceae. The record is from RNAcentral.
GGGUAUCCUGUUCCUGGAAAUAAUAAGUCAAGAAGAAAAACAAGUCAGCCGAUGGUGAUAGCAAAUCGGCUAAGUAAGGGUGAAAAGUCUCUUACCUCCUUGAAUCGGAUUUCCUCAAGCUGCGUUUGGGGAGCCGUUAUCCUCGAUUCAGGGGCUGGUGCCAUUGGUUCAUCAGAAGAAGAAGACUCUACGAUGAUUGGUGCUGUGCUCGGGCCAGCUUCCCGGGAGAUGACCGUUGGUU